Molecule: non-coding RNA, 161 nt
Organism: Phascolarctos cinereus (koala)
Lineage: Eukaryota; Metazoa; Chordata; Mammalia; Diprotodontia; Phascolarctidae
Source: RefSeq, a predicted model, not a curated record
AGAAGAGGACAUCACAUCUCUGAAAUCCUUCCAGCUCUCAGCCUAUGAGGACGGUGGUGGUGAUGUGCCUAAAGCAAAGCCUGGGCCCACAAAUGACCUCACAGAAUCUCCUCCUAGCCCGAGGAAUCCCUUCUGACCUGCUUUGAGGCAGCCCCUCCCAA